RNAcentral lists this ribosomal RNA (243 nucleotides) under uncultured bacterium. RNAcentral's name for it is "partial 16S ribosomal RNA". It matches the Rfam family "Bacterial small subunit ribosomal RNA", at positions 87 to 334 of the family's 1533-position model. The record is from RNAcentral.
CCAGUCGAGCGGCGAACGGGUGAGUAACGCGUGGAUAACCUGCCCAGAGGUGGGGGAUAACCCGGGGAAACUCGGGCUAAUACCGCAUAUGACCGUGAGGUCAAAGGGGGCUCGCAAGAGCUCUCGCCGUUGGAGGGGUCCGCGUACGAUUAGCUAGUUGGUAGGGUAAUGGCCUACCAAGGCGACGAUCGUUAGCCGGCCUGAGAGGGUGAUCGGCCACACUGGAACUGAGACACGGUCCAG